AUGAACACAAAACCGCCAUUGCCACCAUCUUCAAUAACUGCUACAAACUCCGUAUUCCCAUUCCCCCACGCCCUCACACUCCACCCCGUUCCUCCUCCAGCCUCACCUACUGCCCCCACCAAACCCCCACACUCAUUUCGCGUCCAAACCGCUGCCAAUCGCAUCGACCCCAACCUCUCUCUCACCACCAGCACCGCCGCUGCCACCGCCUCCACGCUGCCAUCCAACGCUGAUGACUACAAACUCCUAACACUCCUCCGGCAAAGAAGAACAGAGGAGGCCUGGCUAAUCUACUCUGAGGGGAGCCGCCUCCCCAGCUCCACCUGCCUCAGCCGCCUAGUCUCCCAAUUAUCCUACCAAAACACCCACCAGUCUCUCACCCGCGCUCAGUCCAUCGUCCACCGCCUCCGCCACGAGCAGCAGCUCCACCGCCUAGAUGCCAACUCCCUCGGCCUCCUCGCCGUCGCCGCCACCAAGGCUGGCCUCACCCUAUACGCCACUUCCCUCAUCAAGUCCAUGCUCCGCUCUGGCUACCUGCCCCACGUUAAGGCCUGGAGCGCCGUCGUCAGCCGCCUUGCAGCCUCAGGUGACGACGGCCCCGCCCUUGCCCUCCGCCUGUUCAAUUCCAUCGUCAGAAGGGUCCGCCAGUUUGCGGACCCUGCGGCCGUAGGUGAUGCACGACCGGACACCGCCGCCUACAAUGCCGUACUCAAUGCAUGCGCCAAUAUGGGAAAUACAGGGGAGUUCCUGCGACUGUUUGCGGAAAUGUCUGAGUUUGAUGCGGUGCCUGAUGCGCUAACUUACAAUGUUAUGAUCAAGCUCUGCACUAGAGCUGAUAGAAAGGAUUUGCUUGUGCUUGUCUUGGAAAGGAUACUAGAUGAGGGAAUUCCCUUGUGCAUGACAACUUUACAUUCACUUGUUGCAGCCUAUGUGGGUUUUGGUGACUUGGAAACAGCUGAGAAAAUGGUUCAGGCAAUGCGGGAAGGACGGCGAGAUCUCUGCAAGAUCCUCAGGGAAUCAAAUUGGCAAAACCCGAAUCAUAAUGAGGGAGAUGUAUUUGACAAAUUGCUUCCCAUUUCAGCUAAGCGGAGUGACCAUGAACCACCACUCUUACCGAAACAAUAUGCUCCUAAUACUAGAAUGUACACAACUUUGAUGAAGGGAUACAUGAAGGCUGGCCGUGUAAGCCACACGGUCCAAAUGCUGGAAGCAAUGCGGCAACAGGAUGAUAGUGCCAGCCAUCCCGACCAUGUUACAUACACAACUGUUGUUUCUGCACUUGUCAAAGCAGGCCGGAUGGACAGGGCCCGGGAGGUGCUAGCCGAAAUGGAACGAACUGGUGUGCCUGCAAAUAGGAUCACUUAUAAUAUACUGCUGAAGGGUUACUGCCAGCAGCUGAAGAUAGAGAAGGCAAAGGAGCUCAUCCGUGAGAUGGCCGAUGAUGCUAGGAUAUUGCCUGAUGUGGUGUCAUAUAACACCUUAAUUGAUGGAUGCAUACUGAUUGAUGACAGUGCCAGUGCUCUGGCCUGCUUUAAUGAGAUGCGAGCGAGAGGGAUUGCCCCUACCAAGAUCAGUUACACCACUUUGAUGAAAGCUUUUGGCCUAUCUGGUCAACCAAAGCUAGCUAACAAGGUGUUUGAUGAAAUGAUGAAUGAUCCACGAGUAAAGGUUGAUUUACCUGCUUGGAAUAUGUUGAUUGAAGGGUAUUGUAGGCUGGGGCUUUAUGGAGAAGCUAAGAAGAUAGUUCAGAAAAUGAGAGAGAGUGGGCUUCACCCCAAUGUUUCUACCUAUGGAAGUCUUGCAAACGGGAUUGCAUUGGCAAGAAAACCAGGGGAAGCACUUCUACUUUGGAAUGAAAUAAAGGAGAGGUGUGAAGCCAAAAAGGAAGGAGAGAAUUCCAGAUCUUCUGCCCCACCAUUGAAGCCUGAUGAAGGGCUGUUAGAUACUCUGGCGGAUAUUUGUGUAAGGGCAGCUUUCUUUAGGAAGGCCUUGGAGAUUGUGGCAUGUAUGGAAGAGAACGGAAUAUCACCCAAUAAGACCAAGUUCACUAAAAUCUAUGUGGAGAUGCAUUCAAGAAUGUUUACUAGUAAGCAUGCCUCAAGGGCAAGGCAGGACAGAAGAAAGGAGAGGAAGAGAGCAGCUGAGGCUUUCAAAUUUUGGUUAGGAUUGCCUAAUUCUUAUUAUGGGAGUGAGUGGCGUCUCGAACCAGAGGAUGGUGAUGAGUAUGCCUCAAACUCAGUUUAACCAACUGGAUUUGCUGCUGCUAAUACUGAAGUCCUUGCUGAUAAACUUGCUAGCAUUCCAGCCUUUGCAACAGACACACACUGCUGCUCCAUUGCUUCAAGUAAAGCCUGAGACAUUUUAUCGAACUCAUCAAUACAACAUAAUCCACGAUCAGCAAGUACCAUUGCCCCUAUUGGAAAGAUUUAAUAGCUACUUUAGAAGGUAAGAUUUGAACAUUUUCAUGCAUGUCCAGGACUAAGUACAGCACAGUAUACUGUGUGCCUCUCAAAGAGUCAAAGAAUGCAGUACUCAUGGUCCCCAUUUUCUCUAUUCAAAAGGCGGCUAAUCUUUUCUGGUUUUUCUUAGACACCAAUGUGUUACUCUGAUAUCUACGUGAUGAAGACGACAGAAACCAAAUGAGAACCAUCUAUGAUCUAUCUACUCUUUCCCCUUCAGAUCUGUUAAAGGUUGAUAUACAUUGUUGGCCCACAACCUAAUAGCUUAAGCUUUUAGGUAAAGUGGUAAUCUAACAUGGUAUCAGAGUUGGUUACUAGGAGGUGCUGGGUUCUAGUCUUGUUUCCCAUGUUUAUUGUGUGGUGUUUAAAAAAAUUUUUGUGUUCCCUAUCAUGGGUAUUAUUUAUUGUCAGUUUAUCUCUCCACGUGCUGUCGGGCUGCAUGUUCGGGGGAGUGUUAAAGCUUGACAUACAUUGUUGGCCCGCAACCUAAUAGCUUAAGGUUUUAGGUAAAGUGGUAAUCUAACAAGAUCAAUGAUAUUUGGGCAUUUUUAUGAUA
RNA transcript from Malania oleifera, 3015 nucleotides. It is a transcript of the gene named pentatricopeptide repeat-containing protein At3g09650, chloroplastic, with no coding region annotated. The transcript has 3 exons. The record is from RefSeq and is a predicted model, not a curated record. Lineage: Eukaryota; Viridiplantae; Streptophyta; Magnoliopsida; Santalales; Ximeniaceae.